Molecule: long non-coding RNA, 277 nt
Organism: Amphibalanus amphitrite
Lineage: Eukaryota; Metazoa; Arthropoda; Thecostraca; Balanomorpha; Balanidae
Exons: 2
Source: RefSeq, a predicted model, not a curated record
AAGACAUAUAUGAUGCUGUACUGACAUUGGUGGCGCACAUAAACAAAUGCUCUCCGCACUGUUUUGUGUGUUUAUUGUUUCACAUAGGUGAUUUAUCGCUGCUUAGGGCCAGCGGCCCAUCGGACAGCCUUGAGAAGACCGCCGCACGCUGUUUGCAGUCCGUCGACCACCUGUCUUCAACGGACGGACGCCCUCGGUCCCACUCAGCAAUUGACUGAAGCCUAUCGCGCCGAUAUGCUCGCUCAUCUUCCAUCCUCCCUCGCCCUCAGUGAUGCCA